AUACGUAGGGUGCAAGCGUUAAUCGGAAUUACUGGGCGUAAAGCGUGCGCAGGCGGCUUGACAAGUCUGAUGUGAAAUCUCCACGGCUCACCCGGGAGACGCCAUUGGAAACUGUUGAGCUUGAGGUCCGGAGAGGUCGGUGGAAUUCCCGGUGUAGCGGUGGAAUGCGUAGAUAUCGGGAAGAACACCAGUGGCGAAGGCGGCCGACUGGACGGCACCUGACGCUGAGGCGCGAAAGUGUGGGGAGCAAACGGGAUUAGAUACCCCGGUAGUCCACACUGUAAACGUUGGUCACUAGGUGUUGGGGGUAUCGACCCCUCCAGUGCCGCAGCUAACGCAUUAAGUGACCCGCCUGGGGAGUACGGUCGCAAGACUGAAACUCAAAUGAAUUGACGGGG
Molecule: ribosomal RNA, 398 nt
Filed under: uncultured bacterium
Lineage: Bacteria
Description: partial 16S ribosomal RNA
Rfam family: Bacterial small subunit ribosomal RNA
Source: RNAcentral